GACAGAGGGGGCAAGCGUUGCUCGGAUUCACUGGGCGUAAAGGGUGCGCAGGCGGCCAAGUGUGUGAGGCGUGAAAGCCCGGGGCUUAACCCCGGAAUUGCACCUCAAACUACAUGGCUAGAGCAUUGGAGAGGGUAGCAGAAUUCAUGGUGUAGCAGUGAAAUGCGUAGAUAUCAUGAGGAAUACCAGAGGCGAAGGCGGCUACCUGGACAAUUGCUGACGCUCAGGCACGAAAGCGUGGGGAGCAAAAGGG
This 253-nucleotide ribosomal RNA is filed under the name uncultured bacterium. RNAcentral describes it as "partial 16S ribosomal RNA". It matches the Rfam family "Bacterial small subunit ribosomal RNA", at positions 524 to 776 of the family's 1533-position model. The record is from RNAcentral.